RNAcentral lists this ribosomal RNA (467 nucleotides) under uncultured bacterium. RNAcentral describes it as "partial 16S ribosomal RNA". It matches the Rfam family "Bacterial small subunit ribosomal RNA", at positions 28 to 506 of the family's 1533-position model. The record is from RNAcentral.
GACGAACGCUGGCGGCGUGCUUAACACAUGCAAGUCGAACGGAAAGGCCCUGCUUUUGUGGGGUGCUCGAGUGGCGAACGGGUGAGUAACACGUGAGUAACCUGCCCUUGACUUUGGGAUAACUUCAGGAAACUGGGGCUAAUACCGGAUAGGAGCUCCUGCUGCAUGGUGGGGGUUGGAAAGUUUCGGCGGUUGGGGAUGGACUCGCGGCUUAUCAGCUUGUUGGUGGGGUAGCGGCUUACCAAGGCUUUGACGGGUAGCCGGCCUGAGAGGGUGACCGGCCACAUUGGGACUGAGAUACGGCCCAGACUCCUACGGGAGGCAGCAGUGGGGAAUAUUGCACAAUGGGCGGAAGCCUGAUGCAGCAACGCCGCGUGCGGGAUGACGGCCUUCGGGUUGUAAACCGCUUUCGCCUGUGACGAAGCGUGAGGGACGGUAAUGGGUAAAGAAGCACCGGCUAACUACGU